UACGAAGGGGGGUAGGGUUGCUCGGAAUCACUGGGGGUAAAGCGCACGUAGGCGGAUUGCUAAGUCAGGGGUGAAAUCCUGGAGCUCAACUCCAGAACUGCCUUUGAUACUGGCGACCUUGAGUCCGGGAGAGGUGAGUGGAACUGCGAGUGUAGAGGUGAAAUUCGUAGAUAUUCGCAAGAACACCAGUGGCGAAGGCGGCAUCCUGGACCGGUAUUGACGCUGAGGCGCGAAAGCUAGGGGAUCAAACGGG
This 253-nucleotide ribosomal RNA is filed under the name uncultured bacterium. RNAcentral's name for it is "partial 16S ribosomal RNA". It matches the Rfam family "Bacterial small subunit ribosomal RNA", at positions 524 to 776 of the family's 1533-position model. The record is from RNAcentral.